AUUGAACGCUGGCGGCAUGCCUUACACAUGCAAGUCGAACGGCAGCACGGGAGCAAUCCUGGUGGCGAGUGGCGAACGGGUGAGUAAUAUAUCGGAACGUGCCCAGUCGUGGGGGAUAACUACUCGAAGAGUGGCUAAUACCGCAUACGAUCUACGGAUGAAAGCGGGGGACCGUUCGGGCCUCGCGCGAUUGGAGCGGCCGAUAUCAGAUUAGGUAGUUGGUAGGGUAAAAGACCUACCAAGCCUGCGAUCUGUAGCUGGUCUGAGAGGACGACCAGCCACACUGGAACUGAGACACGGUCCAGACUCCUACGGGAGGCAGCAGUGGGGAAUUUUGGACAAUGGGCGAAAGCCUGAUCCAGCAAUGCCGCGUGCAGGACGAAGGCCUUCGGUUGGUAACUAGCUUUGUUACGGAACGAAAAGGUAAGCUCCUAAUACGAGCUGCUGAUGACGGUACCGUAAGAAUAAGCACCGGCUAACUACGUG
Molecule: ribosomal RNA, 486 nt
Filed under: uncultured bacterium
Lineage: Bacteria
Description: bacterial SSU rRNA
Rfam family: Bacterial small subunit ribosomal RNA
Source: RNAcentral